UAAUGUUUAACAGAAGAUGGAGGCUUUUAUACUUUAAUUUUCUAGAUCGUUUGUGGGAUAAAAUUGUGUGUAGUUUUAUGUAAAUAUUGUUAAAAGUUGUAAAAGGUCGUGGUUUCUAUUAAAAAAAAAAAAAGUGUGAAAUGGGCUAUGCAUGUCUGCAAAAGUGAGUUAGAAAACUUAGCUUUAUAUUUGUCAUGAGGGGUGGCUUUGUAUUGUUGUGCAGUUGUUUUGUAAUUUUGAAUUGUGUUUAAUAAAAAUUGAGAAGUCUUGUGAGGGCUUGGUGUGUGGUUUUAUGAUUACUAGGUAAUUCGGAUAGAUAUUUAUCUAAGAUUCUUACUUAUUUAGUUACCAAAUAGAGGGUAUAUCGAACCCAAAUCUCAUUGUACGUAUGUAUAUAUUUCAAAUUAUACCCUCUAUUUGGCUCAAGG
RNAcentral lists this unclassified non-coding RNA (428 nucleotides) under Hevea brasiliensis (rubber tree). The record is from RNAcentral. Lineage: Eukaryota; Viridiplantae; Streptophyta; Magnoliopsida; Malpighiales; Euphorbiaceae.